This 483-nucleotide ribosomal RNA is filed under the name uncultured bacterium. RNAcentral's name for it is "partial 16S ribosomal RNA". It matches the Rfam family "Bacterial small subunit ribosomal RNA", at positions 29 to 506 of the family's 1533-position model. The record is from RNAcentral.
AUUGAACGCUGGCGGCAUGCUUUACACAUGCAAGUCGAACGGCAGCGCGGGCUUCGGCCUGGCGGCGAGUGGCGAACGGGUGAGUAAUACAUCGGAACGUGCCCAGUAGUGGGGGAUAGCUCGGCGAAAGCCGGAUUAAUACCGCAUACGACCUGAGGGUGAAAGCGGGGGAUCUUCGGACCUCGCGCUAUUGGAGCGGCCGAUGGCAGAUUAGCUAGUUGGUGGGGUAAAGGCCUACCAAGGCGACGAUCUGUAGCUGGUCUGAGAGGACGACCAGCCACACUGGGACUGAGACACGACCCAGACUCCUACGGGAGGCAGCAGUGGGGAAUUUUGGACAAUGGGCGAAAGCCUGAUCCAGCAAUGCCGCGUGUGUGAUGAAGGCCUUCGGGUUGUAAAGCACUUUUGGCGGGAACGAAAAGGACUGUGCCAAUACCACGGUUCGAUGACGGUACCCGCAGAAUAAGCACCGGCUAACUACGU